GACGAACGCUGGCGGCGUGCCUAAUACAUGCAAGUCGAGCGGACCGAACGAGGGCUUGCUCUUGUUUGGUCAGCGGCGGACGGGUGAGUAACACGUGGGCAACCUGCCCGCAAGACCGGGAUAACUCCGGGAAACCGGAGCUAAUACCGGAUAACACCGAAGACCGCAUGGUCUUCGGUUGAAAGGCGGCCUUUGGGCUGUCACUUGCGGAUGGGCCCGCGGCGCAUUAGCUAGUUGGUGAGGUAACGGCUCACCAAGGCGACGAUGCGUAGCCGGCCUGAGAGGGUGACCGGCCACACUGGGACUGAGACACGGCCAAGACUCCGACGGGAGGCAGCAGUAGGGAAUCUUCCGCAAUGGGCGAAAGCCUGACGGAGCGACGCCGCGUGAGCGAAGAAGGCCUUCGGGUCGUAAAGCUCUGUUGUGAGGGACGAAGGGGCGCCGUUCGAAGAGGGCGGCGCGGUGACGGUACCUCACGAGAAAGCCCCGGCUAACUACGUGCCAGCCGCCGCCGUAA
Molecule: ribosomal RNA, 517 nt
Filed under: uncultured bacterium
Lineage: Bacteria
Description: partial 16S ribosomal RNA
Rfam family: Bacterial small subunit ribosomal RNA
Source: RNAcentral